Non-coding RNA from Sus scrofa (pig), 5160 nucleotides. The record is from RefSeq and is a predicted model, not a curated record. Lineage: Eukaryota; Metazoa; Chordata; Mammalia; Artiodactyla; Suidae.
UUCUCACUUCCUUCCCAGAACUUGCUUCAGCUGCUUCUCCGGGUUACUAGGUUACUGAUCACUUUAAGAACCUUCCAGCCAACCUCUUGGCUGGGCCUCUGCAGACUUGAAAGUAGGAAAAAGUGCCUCAAGUCAGUCUCAGCUGAUGGCAGAGAGGAAAACUGGGCCAGCCUAAUGCAUUCUGGUUUGCAGCAGUUUAGGACUUUGAGUUAUUUGAAGUGGUAAGAGAAAAAGAAAAUGAAAUUUUCCUAAAUACAUAGCUGGAGACUUUUUCCUUUGUACAGAUGCAGAAGUGGGGAAACGGGAGCCAGAAAGCCAAGCCAUGUGCAGAAGGGCACCAUCUGGUCAACGGAGCUGGGGUUAGAAUCCGGCGUCCUGAAUCUCCCAUGUGGGGAACAGAUCUGCGGAGCCUGUCACAUCACCAUUUUGGAAGUGGGUCACCUAUUUAACUCAUGUUCAGGAAGACAGUGCGAAUAGUGAAGAGAAUGUGAGCUUUAGAGUCAGAAAUAACUGGAUUUGAACCCCAGUGCUGCUACUUACAAGAAUCCUGGUCUUGAGCCAUUCUACUUGCAGUACAGGGGAUAGCUGAAGAGAAAAUCCUGACUCAUAUCCUGCAAUUUAUCAAGCUCAGUGGAAAGAGAUAGCUCACUAACAAGGCGAAAAGCAAAGGAAGAAUCGUCCUGACUGAGAUCACAUGCUUCAUGCCCAUUCCUUAACCCGUCUCUUUGACUAAAGGAAGAAAUACUUUGAUGAGGGUUUAUAACCACGAGGACCACCCCUGUGAUAGAUGAAUGGAGUGAGUAGGGUUAUCUCAACCGCAGAACCAUGGGAAAGAGUGCUUUUUAUACUGGAAAGUUCUGCCACACCACUCAAUGUAAGCAAUCAUAAAGAAUUCAUUGGCCUAUUGCUUUCGGUAACUAUUUUUAGGAAAGUGUUAUGGUAGAGGUCUCUGGAAAGAGAGUGGCUUCCAGAAACCAGGAGGCAUAAUUUGGCAGCAGAAUGGGUACCCGGGGUGUAUUGGCGACUUCUGUUUACAGAAGGCAAUGCUCUCUAGGCUACUUAUGCCCAUGCCUGCCUUCACUUUACUCUUCAGAACAACCCUGUGAGGUAUAUGUUAUUAUUCCUCAUUUAUGAUUAAAAAAGUAAAUUGACCUAGGUCACAAGCUUGGUCACAAUCAAAGUUCAGUUUUGAACCCAGAUCUAUUUCUGAAAACCAUGUGCUUUUCAACAUAUGGUAAUGUUCUAAAUGCAAAAUGUUGGCAUCUUGACAAAGUAAGCAGAGGUUUUCAUUUUGUGUUGCUUUCCCUCUUCCUUUCCUCUAAGAAAAAAGAACAUGUUACCUGUUAGAGAUCAACUUUGGGAAAGUGAUACAUUCUGAGGAUCUAGGAGCUGGGAGGUCGUAAGCAUUGAAAGCAGCAAAAAGGAUGGGAAAGUCCUUUGGUGGUGAGCUUAGGACAGAUUUUCUUUUCUACUUAUAACAUUAAAAGAAUGGAGAUUUGCUGAGAUUUUCCACUUCUAUAUAUAAUCAGCAAAUUUGUUAUUUGUCACAGAUUUUAUAUUAAGUAGUUGGUACGGAAUGUCAGACUGUACUAUUCCCUCACAUAACAACUAUUUAUUGAAUUUUUACUAUAACAUAAGCAUUAAAAAAAGAAACCUAAGGGCAUAAAAUAUCUAAUAAAAUGGUAAAAAUCAAGUUUUAAAGAUUAAAUAAAGGAAAGUACAAAAGGAAAGACUAAAAUUCAGCUAAAUCAACAAAAAUCUCGCAGGCCACCUCAUGUACUUUGAUGGCGUUCACCCUCCCAAAUCUAGAGAAACAAUGUGUUAUGGCCAAGUUUAGCUCUUAUUCUUCCUCCUACAAAAUUACAGUAGACUAUGAACUUGUGGUUUCUGUCCAAGUGAAAACUUCCCACGAUUAUAUUCCUGACAUUUUACUAUAUAAAAAGAAGAGUCUAAUUUCUCUACAGAAAAACAGGAUUUCAAAAUUAAACCUGGGAGAGUGAAGAGUUCAAACUACACAAUCUCUCAGUUAUUUGUAGUGACCUUUAGCAACACUUGGUUGGAGCCACCAAAGAGCAAAAUUCUUCAUUUAUAGUUUUUCAUUUUUAAAAAAAGUAUCUAUGAAUAAAGAUCCAAAAGUCUCAAAGGGAGCUUCAUAGAGUUGUUCAAUCCAGAAUAGAAAUCAUCAGGAUUCACAAAUAUUUGUGCAGAAAAGCCUGCAUAGUUAUUCAACUCCUGGAGGAAUAAUUCCUAAAUCUUAGCAUGGCACACUGGGCGUCUAAGUUCAAGUUCCUACCUACUUUUUACCUUUUAUGUGAGUAAUACUUUCUCACCCUCUCAGGACCUAAAGCCCUUGCUAUUUCUGAAUGUCAUGUUGCUUUUUGCCUCUAUGCCUUUAUUUAUACUUAUCUUUUUGGGCAAAAGUCUUUUUUUACACUUUUAGAACUAGCAAACUCAAAUGCAUUCUUCAAAAUUGAACUCAAACAAAAUUCAGGGUAUUGUUACCAAUGGAAAAAGUUUUAACCCAAGUGCCUGUUCUCCCAAAGUGUUUUUAAAAAUUUGUUUGCAUACCUCUAUUAUAGCUCUUUUAUUACAUUAAUUUAUACCAAAUUAAAUUGCAUUAAAUUAUUUAUAUUUAAUGAUGUUAUAUUUUGUUUAACUUAUGAUCAUUACAUUGCAAGUUUCUCAAGAGCCCUGUUUUACUCAUAUUUGUGCUCCCAAACCUGAGAAUGCCUUUGUAUCAGAGCAGGUGCCCAAUUAAUAGGGGUUUAAUUAAUUAAUUACUUUCUCAAAUAUCUACUACAUUCAAGACAUUGUUCUAGUCAGAUAAAAAGAGACAUAAACAAUGCCUCUUACUUCAGGAAGUUUGCAGUCUGCUUGAAAUGCAAGAUACAGAAAGUAAUAUUAAUAAUGACCAAAAAAUAGAAAAUAUAUAUGUAACUCAUACUAUACACCAGAGAGUAUUUGGAGUAUAUUAUAUGUAUUAAUGCAUUUAAUCCUCAUUAUAGCACCUAUGGAGUAGAUACAAUUUUAUGAGUGAGGAAACUGAGGUACAGGAAGAAAAAGGAAUUUAUCUAAAGUACUUGGUGAAAUUGGGGCAAAAUCCCAGGUUGUCUGGAGUUAGAAUUACUCUCAACCUAUAUGUUAAGCCAUAAGUGACCUAAUGAUAAGAACAGUUAAAUUUAAUUAAUUAAAUUCAAUUAAAAAGACUAAAUAUUAAAAUAUCUGUACAUUAAUAGUACAUGCAAAAUUAUCUAUGAAAAUAUCCUGUAAUUUGAAUUCACUUUGAAUCAAAUAUUUUUCUUCAGUCUUAUAUCUCCUGUCAAAUACCAUUAAACCUGUGGAAACUGCUAAAGGCUUCUUAGGAGCCCCUCAGGAGAAGAGGAGGCGUUGGUCCCAACUACCAUCCCUUUCAACCACUGUAGCUCUGCUUUCAUUUCUUUUCUGUGCUGGGGCUCCAUUUAGAAUUUUGUCGUCUAGUAAAGUAAAGGUACUUUGCAAAGCUGUUGUAUGCGUAAGUGGAGCAGAUAAAGACAGAAAACAGAUAGAUGUGCUGUCUGAGAUCCCUUUCCUCCCUUCUUUCUCCUGUUCCCCUCUUUAACACCACCACCCUCCUCAGCCACUAUCGAGCUUUGUAUAGGGUAACCUUUUCCUGGACCAGGUAAGAGAUGCUUCCCAAACUUUGCUUUAUUAACUGUCUCUGCUCUGGACCUUUCAUCCCGUCUCCCUGCCCUGGUCAAUAGUAUAUUCAAAUCUGUACUUGAUCGCCUCUAUUUUUUGUCUACUAGCCCUCAUUUAACCUUGGAUUUGAUACCAAGCACAUGCUUCCUCACUGGAGGAAGUACUCACUACUCUGGUUUUGCUUCCUAAAUCAUUUCAGGUGACACCCUAGCUCUCGCCUUGGACAUCACACUGGGCCAGUCCGGACCAGUCCAGUAUUCAGCAGAAAAUCAGCCUGAUGGUACCCAUGAUUAAUUUAUUAUACAGGACCCAGCUUCUCUUUUACAGAGAUUCUUGUAUGUUUUUUUAAAAUGAACUUCUGAUGGAAGGUUAAGAUACUUCUGAAUGUUUUGUCUCCUGAGGUCUGUCUGCCAACAUUAUCGGAACUGAUUUUUCUGACCUACCACCUGUUCCAAACUCAUGUAAAAAACAAACACAUUGUCAUUCAUCUCUUCUAUUUCACCAUUCUUUUCCAUUAUAGUAUUUAAAUAUAAGGUUCUAUUCAUACAAUGUACUGUUCUCAAUUCCAGAAACCAUGGAGCAUGGGCUUGAAAACAGGGACACAUAAGUUAAAAUAGAGCCAGGAAGUAGAAAAUCUAAUCAACAAGAACUUGAAACCCUUAUAUAAGGUUAAAAGACCAAGUCUCAUAAUAACAGCAGUUAUCAUAAGUAGCAUCAUAUGUAGUUUUGUAAAUAACCCUUAACGACAUUAUAUGCUUAAGAUAGAAUCACCAAGAAUGCCACUAUUCCAAUAUUACUGAACACACUUCCAGGAGGCUUCCUGAGGAAGACACACAAGUACCGCUGGCUGGUAAAUGAGAUGGACUAAACAGAAAAGAUGUAGAAAAGGAGAAAGCCAGGAAAGAGACAUAGAACUUGAAGCCUCAAUAGCAUGAGCAUUGAAUUCUGUGAAGCCACAUCCAGGAGGCAGCCUGGUAUCAUUCUCUAAGGAUGGUGAAAAUCUUUUUGAUACAAGAAUCAUAUGGUCCUAAGGCCACAGGUAAGGUAUAAAGACCUUGUAAGUAAUCCCAACCCAAGAUAUCUCUGAUAUGCCCUGGAGAAAGAACUACCAGUCACACAUAUAGCUUUAAAAAAUGGAGCAUUAGAGGAGGAAAUAAUCUCAGAAAGAGUGUCUUCCCAUACAGAGACCGCAACAACAUACCUAAUACCUAUUCAGUUUUUUUAGGAAAAAAUUGAAGGAUUCUUAAUAGGACUUGGGACUCAGGUAUCCAGCCAUACCUAUGUUUUUACAGUUCUUGACAUACACCUGUUUAGUUCUCCUAUUCUUCUUUCAUCCUCUCUUCUCUCUUUCUCCCUCCCUCCUUUUCUACCUCCUUCAAUAAACACAUUAAAUUCACAUUCUAGGUUAGGAACUUUGAUAUAUAUAUAUAUAUAUUUUUUUUUGCUUUUUAGGGCUGAACCUGUGGUAUAUGGAUGUUCCAA